GGUCAAGCGAAUAAGCGCAUAUGGCGGAUGCCUUGGCGGUAGAAGGCGAUGAAGGACGUGGUAGCCUGCGAUAAGCGUCGGCGAGCUGGCAAACGAGCUUUGACCCGACGAUUUCCGAAUGGGGAAACCCACCCUGGCUUGCCAGGGUAUUGCACACUGAAUCCAUAGGUGUGUGAAGCGAACCCGGUGAAUUGAAACAUCUCAGUAACCGGAGGAAAAGAAAUCAACCGAGAUUCCCUUAGUAGUGGCGAGCGAACGGGGACCAGCCCAGUCGUGGUAAUCGGUGGCGUGUUAGUGGAACGGUCUGGAAAGUCCGGCCAUAGCGGGUGAUAGCCCCGUACACGAAAACACAAGACCGUGAGCGACGAAGAGUAGGGCGGGACACGUGCAAUCCUGUCUGAACAUCGGGGGACCAUCCUCGAAGGCUAAAUACUCUCUACCGACCGAUAGUGAACUAGUACCGUGAGGGAAAGGCGAAAAGAACCCCGGUGAGGGGAGUGAAAUAGAACCUGAAACCGUAUGCGUACAAGCAGUCGGAGCCCCGCAAGGGGUGACGGCGUACCUUUUGUAUAAUGGGUCAGCGAGUUAUUUUCAGUGGCGAGGCUAACCGCAUAGGGGAGCCGUAGGGAAACCGAGUCUCAAAUGGGCGAUCAGUCGCUGGGAAUAGACCCGAAGCCAGUCGAUCUAUCCAUGUCCAGGAUGAAGGCCAGGUAACACUGGCUGGAGGUCCGAACGAACCACUGUUGCAAUAGUGCGUCGAUGAGGUGUGGAUAGGAGUGAAAGGCUAAUCAAGGCUGGCGAUAGCUGGUUCUCCCCGAAAGCUAUUUAGGUAGCGCCUCGAGCGAUCACUCGGGGGGGUAGAGCACUGUUUGGAGAAGGGGGCCACCUCGGCCUACCGACUCCAUGCAAACUCCGAAUACCCCGAAGUGCAGCUCGGGAGACACACGGCGGGUGCUAACGUCCGUCGUGAAAAAGGGAAAAAACCCAGACCAUCAGCUAAGGUCCCAAAAUUUCGGCUAAGUGGUAAACGAUGUGAGAAGGCAUAGACAGCCAGGAGGUUGGCUUAGAAGCAGCCAUCCUUUAAAGAAAGCGUAAUAGCUCACUGGUCAAGUCGGCUCGCGCGGAAGAUAUAACGGGGCUAAGCCGAGUACCGAAGCUAUGGGUGUGGUGGUCUUCGGACCGUCACGCGGUAGGGGAGCGUUCUCUACGCCUGCGAAGGUAUGUCGCGAGGCAUGCUGGAGGUAUGAGAAGUGCGAAUGCUGACAUGAGUAACGUUAAAGCGGGUGAAAAACCCGCUCGCCGAAAACCCAAGGUUUCCUGAGCUACGUUAAUCGGCUGAGGGUGAGUCGGUUCCUAAGGCGAGACCGAAAGGUGUAGUCGAUGGAAAGCAGGUCAACAUUCCUGCACCGGCGGCCACUGCGAUGGGGUGACGGAGAAGGCUAGGUCAGCGGCAGCAGUGCCGUUCAAGGCCGUAGGGGGAUCCUCCUGGAAAAUCCGGAGGGUCGCUAUCCCCGAGAACUGAGUACGAGGGAACUUCGGUUCCCGAAGUGACUGACGCCACGCUCCCGGGAAAAGCCUCUAAGCUUCAGGUGGUCGACGACCGUACCGUAAACCGACACUGGUGGGUGAGGAGAUAAUCUCCUAAGGCGCUUGAGAGAACUCGGGUUAAGGAACUCUGCAAGUUGAUACCGUAACUUCGGGAGAAGGUAUGCCUCCGCCGGUAAGUGGACUUGCUCCACGAGCUGGCAGAGGUCACAGGUAAUCGGGGGCUGCGACUGUUUACCAAAAACACAGGACUCUGCUAACACGAAAGUGGAUGUAUAGGGUCUGACGCCUGCCCGGUGCCGGAAGGUUAAUUGAUGGGGUCAGCCGCAAGGCGAAGCUCCUGAUCGAAGCCCCGGUAAACGGCGGCCGUAACUAUAACGGUCCUAAGGUU
This 1936-nucleotide ribosomal RNA is filed under the name mine drainage metagenome. RNAcentral's name for it is "bacterial LSU rRNA". It matches the Rfam family "Bacterial large subunit ribosomal RNA", at positions 1 to 1958 of the family's 2925-position model. The record is from RNAcentral.